This 253-nucleotide ribosomal RNA is filed under the name uncultured bacterium. RNAcentral describes it as "partial 16S ribosomal RNA". It matches the Rfam family "Bacterial small subunit ribosomal RNA", at positions 524 to 776 of the family's 1533-position model. The record is from RNAcentral.
UACGGGGGGGGCAAGCGUUGUUCGGAAUUACUGGGCGUAAAGGGCUCGUAGGCGGCCAACUAAGUCAUACGUGAAAUCCCUCGGCUUAACCGAGGAACUGCGUCCGAUACUGGUGGGCUUGAAUCCGGGAGAGGGAUGUGGAAUUCCAGGUGUAGCGGUGAAAUGCGUAGAUAUCUGGAGGAACACCGGUGGCGAAGGCGGCAUCCUGGACCGGUAUUGACGCUGAGGCGCGAAAGCUAGGGGAGCAAACGGG